This 19-nucleotide non-coding RNA is filed under the name Mus musculus (house mouse). The record is from RNAcentral. Lineage: Eukaryota; Metazoa; Chordata; Mammalia; Rodentia; Muridae.
CCAGGUGGGCAUCUGGCUG